UACGAAGGGGGCUAGCGUUGCUCGGAAUUACUGGGCGUAAAGCGCACGUAGGCGGCUUACUAAGUCAGGGGUGAAAUCCUGGAGCUCAACUCCAGAACUGCCUUUGAUACUGGUGAGCUUGAGUCCGGAAGAGGUGAGUGGAACUGCGAGUGUAGAGGUGAAAUUCGUAGAUAUUCGCAAGAACACCAGUGGCGAAGGCGGCUCACUGGUCCGGUACUGACGCUGAGGUGCGAAAGCGUGGGGAGCAAACAGG
RNAcentral lists this ribosomal RNA (253 nucleotides) under uncultured bacterium. RNAcentral's name for it is "partial 16S ribosomal RNA". It matches the Rfam family "Bacterial small subunit ribosomal RNA", at positions 524 to 776 of the family's 1533-position model. The record is from RNAcentral.